UUUCGUCUGGCAUAAAACAGAAAGUUUUGGUACAAAGUGUAUUUAAGCAAAUCCUAGAAUAUUUUGAAAUCAAAAACAACGAACUAAUAAAAAAAAUAAAUAUGGAUAGACAUUCAGGCGAAUCGUUGAAUUUCAACACCAUUGUUCCACAGAUGUGCCAAUUGUUUCCUUCGGAGAGCUCCGUACGACAAGAAAAAAAAGCUUAGCUUGCAAUACUUGAAAUUUGUUGGUUCCAUACAUGCUUCUGGGAUAUCAUUAAAAACAGAUUCUCUACUCCAACACUCGAAUAGCCUCGACGGGAGAAAAGCAUGUAUUUAUUCAUCAUUAUGAACCCCUUUUACAGUGCACACUGAUUCGUCAAGCGCACAUGUAGUCGUGCGUAUAAGUUAACACAUGAACACAAUGAAUGUCUUUCUACCUAAACAUCGUCAGAACAGGAUCUUCUUGGUGGUGGUUGUAUGCCAAACGUGGGAAGAGCAACGGAAAAGGCGGCAAUUUUAGUGCCAUUCAAAAUAGUUCUCCGGGCGAAUGUAAACCGUUCUAUAAUUCAGCUGUAAACUGGACAAUAACAAACAGCAUUCACAACGAGUGAGCAUGGACGGCGGAUCGGUUUGUCUUCGUUGGGACGAUCACCAGUGUGCCCUGGCUGUUACGUUCCCGGCUUUAUUGCAAAAACAGGCACUCAUCGAUUGUACAUUGGCAGCCGAAGGACAAUUCCUACCUGCUCACAAAAUCGUCCUAUCAGCGUGCAGUCCCUAUUUUGAGGCUCUUGUGUCUCGAAACUACGAUAAACAUCCCAUCUUCCUUCUCAAGGAUGUUAAGUUCGAUGAUCUUCGCGCUAUAGUUGAUUACAUGUACCGGGGAGAAGCGAACAUCGCGCAGAAUAACUUGUCCUCAUUUCUUCAAACGGCUGAAUUUCUGGAAAUUAAAGGAUUGUCUGAAUGUAAGAAUUUUAUGGAGUCUGAAAACGCAUUAACGAAGAAUUUGAUGCCCACAGUGAAUAAAACCACGCAUUUGGGUGUCGAGAACAAAAUACUUGUAAAAUCAGUCCCGUUAGUGUCGAGUACCCCGCUAGCUCAGAAACGAAGGAGAACGCAGAGCCUUUUUAUUGACAGUGGUUCUCCAAUUAACACCGAAUUUCAGCAAUCACAAACUAUAAAACAAUCUGAGUCAAAUCGGGAGAAAAAAUCAGUUCCGGCCAAUAUCGCGUUAAAACUCGCGUCAAAUACUGUAAAGCCGUUAUCGUCUCGUAAUGUCCAAGCAAAAGUGCUACCUACAAUCCAGGAUAAAAUUAAUAAUACAAAAAAACCAAAAAAUAUGUUGUCGCCAACAUCUCAACGACAUUCACCAAGAAUACAGAAGAAAAAAUGCGACACACAACCAAGAACUCAGCGGCUGGGGGAAAAUUCUGCCGAAAAAAUUUCAACCGUCCAAUCGCUCAAACCAGCAAAGUCACUUAAACGGUCAGCUUCCUCGAAUCUGUUCGAGAUAAAGAUUGAACCGGAACCUGUGCUUUAUAACAGUACGGCAGGAAUAAUCAACCAAUCCAAGGUGCUGGAAAUGGCACGCGAAACGGAUACAAUCCUAGAGCCGAAAGUUGUGGCCAGAGAUGACGGUCAGAUAAGGUUCGUUUGUCCGCAAUGUGGAUCCCAGUUCUCGACAAAAUCUGCAGCUCGGAUUCAUAUGAGACACGGCCACAAAGCGCAAAACGCAGGAGCGCAGUGUUCACGUGCGUCCAACGUAAACAAACCUCAGACCAAUGUUACCAGUCAUCUCAGGACGUACCAGAGAAAAUGCGAUCCAGAGGAAAUCAAUUUUAGAUGUUAAUUAUUUUAUGUUUGUGUUUAUGAGAAAAAAUAUAGCAUUUUUUCUGAAAAUUUUUGUAUCGUAUAUAAUGUGAUAUUAAGUGUUAUGUAGCGAUCAGUUAUGUGUUAUGUUAUACUCUAAUAAUUUAACAAAGAGAUGUAACUAUACAGCCAUUCCAUGCCAAACCGAUGGUUCUCAGAUAUCGUGAAAAGGUGUAUAUUCCUUCUUUAUCGCAUAAAAUUAGACCCGUAUUUUUUAUUUUUAUAUUAGGGAUUUUCAUUUUAGCGUGGUCCGAAUAAUUCAUUUUUCUCCUUUUUUUUCCCAAAAACGACUUUCGAAAAUUCAUAACUAUU
RNA transcript from Toxorhynchites rutilus septentrionalis, 2159 nucleotides. It is a transcript of the gene named transcription factor GAGA-like, with no coding region annotated. The transcript has 3 exons. The record is from RefSeq and is a predicted model, not a curated record. Lineage: Eukaryota; Metazoa; Arthropoda; Insecta; Diptera; Culicidae.